This 1444-nucleotide ribosomal RNA is filed under the name uncultured organism. RNAcentral's name for it is "SSU rRNA". It matches the Rfam family "Bacterial small subunit ribosomal RNA". The record is from RNAcentral.
UGAACGCUAGCGACAGGCUUAACACAUGCAAGUCGAGGGGCAGCACAGGUAGCAAUACCGGGUGGCGACCGGCGCACGGGUGAGUAACGCGUAUGCAACUUGCCUAUCAGAGGGGGAUAACCCGGCGAAAGUCGGACUAAUACCGCAUGAAGCAGGGGCCCCGCAUGGGGAUAUUUGCUAAAGAUUCAUCGCUGAUAGAUAGGCAUGCGUUCCAUUAGGCAGUUGGCGGGGUAACGGCCCACCAAACCGACGAUGGAUAGGGGUUCUGAGAGGAAGGUCCCCCACAUUGGUACUGAGACACGGACCAAACUCCUACGGGAGGCAGCAGUGAGGAAUAUUGGUCAAUGGCCGAGAGGCUGAACCAGCCAAGUCGCGUGAGGGAUGAAGGUUCUAUGGAUCGUAAACCUCUUUUAUAAGGGAAUAAAGUGCGGGACGUGUCCCGUUUUGUAUGUACCUUAUGAAUAAGGAUCGGCUAACUCCGUGCCAGCAGCCGCGGUAAUACGGAGGAUCCGAGCGUUAUCCGGAUUUAUUGGGUUUAAAGGGUGCGUAGGCGGCCUUUUAAGUCAGCGGUGAAAGUCUGUGGCUCAACCAUAGAAUUGCCGUUGAAACUGGGGGGCUUGUGUAUGUUUGAGGCAGGCGGAAUGCGUGGUGUAGCGGUGAAAUGCAUAGACAUCACGCAGAACCCCGAUUGCGAAGGCAGCCUGCCAAGCCAUUACUGACGCUGAUGCACGAAAGCGUGGGGAUCAAACAGGAUUAGAUACCCUGGUAGUCCACGCAGUAAACGAUGAUCACUAGCUGUUUGCGAUACACUGUAAGCGGCACAGCGAAAGCGUUAAGUGAUCCACCUGGGGAGUACGCCGGCAACGGUGAAACUCAAAGGAAUUGACGGGGGCCCGCACAAGCGGAGGAACAUGUGGUUUAAUUCGAUGAUACGCGAGGAACCUUACCCGGGUUUGAACGCAUUCGGACCGAGGUGGAAACACCUUUUCUAGCAAUAGCCGUUUGCGAGGUGCUGCAUGGUUGUCGUCAGCUCGUGCCGUGAGGUGUCGGCUUAAGUGCCAUAACGAGCGCAACCCUUGCCACUAGUUACUAACAGGUAAAGCUGAGGACUCUGGUGGGACUGCCAGCGUAAGCUGCGAGGAAGGCGGGGAUGACGUCAAAUCAGCACGGCCCUUACAUCCGGGGCGACACACGUGUUACAAUGGCGUGGACAAAGGGAAGCCACCUGGCGACAGGGAGCGAAUCCCCAAACCACGUCUCAGUUCGGAUCGGAGUCUGCAACCCGACUCCGUGAAGCUGGAUUCGCUAGUAAUCGCGCAUCAGCCAUGGCGCGGUGAAUACGUUCCCGGGCCUUGUACACACCGCCCGUCAAGCCAUGGGAGCCGGGGGUACCUGAAGUCCGUAACCGCGAGGAUCGGCCUAGGGUAAAACUGGUGACUGGGGC